RNAcentral lists this ribosomal RNA (305 nucleotides) under uncultured bacterium. RNAcentral describes it as "partial 16S ribosomal RNA". It matches the Rfam family "Bacterial small subunit ribosomal RNA", at positions 506 to 808 of the family's 1533-position model. The record is from RNAcentral.
ACAGCAGUAGCCGCGGUAAUACGUAGGUCCCGAGCGUUGUCCGGAUUUAUUGGGCGUAAAGCGAGCGCAGGCGGUUAGAUAAGUCUGAAGUUAAAGGCUGUGGCUUAACCAUAGUACGCUUUGGAAACUGUUUAACUUGAGUGCAAGAGGGGAGAGUGGAAUUCCAUGUGUAGCGGUGAAAUGCGUAGAUAUAUGGAGGAACACCGGUGGCGAAAGCGGCUCUCUGGCUUGUAACUGACGCUGAGGCUCGAAAGCGUGGGGGGCAAACAGGAUUAGAGACCCGCGUAGUCCCUGUCUCUUAUACA